Manis pentadactyla (Chinese pangolin) is the source of this 640-nucleotide long non-coding RNA. RefSeq lists it as uncharacterized. Lineage: Eukaryota; Metazoa; Chordata; Mammalia; Pholidota; Manidae. The record is from RefSeq and is a predicted model, not a curated record. The transcript has 2 exons.
AAAUGGCUUUGUGGGUCUCUGACUUGAGAUUUUUUACUUGGAAUGUAACAGAGUACGCUCAGCUAACCUGUCCCUCAGAUUGGCAGAUGAUGCCAUUUACAUUGUUGUCUGAUUUUGAGGCUUUCCGUUGUAAACCUACUGAAGUACUAUCCUUUGAAAGAAGUCACAUUUUAAGAAGUGUCUCAUCUUUGCUCUCUUUCAGCCAGAUACACAGUAUCGUUCAUGCACUAUUGAGUACCCUAUCAGGCCCAACCUGGUAGGGGCUCUGCAGGGACAGGACCUCAGUUACAUGGGUCUAUGAAAUCUCAAAACAGAGGCGCAGUCUCUAGAACCAGGCAAGGACCAUAGAGCAAAUGAGAAGAACCUGCUUCAAGCUACAGGGAAUACAUGGAAAGAUUUCAUGAAUCAGUGUUCAGCCAUCUUGUGAUGCAGAGCUCAUUUACAAGAGACAGUGGUAAAACCAUCUUCACAAAGAGUUAUUUUGGUACAACUGAGAAAAAAACAACAGAGUACCUGCCAAAGAUUAUAUGGGUACUAUUUCUAUCUCUGGUUACUGUCUUCUUUCCGCAUAAAUUAACCUAUUCCACUGGACAGUAAAGUUUGUACCCAAAGAUGUAACAAAUAAAUAAUUAUCCCCAAA